AAACUAUGUUGUGAGCAACACCUCAACAAAUCCAUGUAAUGCUCCCAUGCCUUAUAAAGUAUCUCGCCAUCUUGUUGAGUGAAUGAGGUAAUAUCAUGGUAAAGCUU
Dioscorea cayenensis subsp. rotundata (Guinea yam) is the source of this 107-nucleotide small nucleolar RNA. Lineage: Eukaryota; Viridiplantae; Streptophyta; Magnoliopsida; Dioscoreales; Dioscoreaceae. The record is from RefSeq and is a predicted model, not a curated record.